This 253-nucleotide ribosomal RNA is filed under the name uncultured bacterium. RNAcentral describes it as "partial 16S ribosomal RNA". It matches the Rfam family "Bacterial small subunit ribosomal RNA", at positions 524 to 776 of the family's 1533-position model. The record is from RNAcentral.
CACGAACCGUACGAACGUUAUUCGGAAUUACUGGGCUUAAAGGGUUUGUAGGCGGCCAUGUAAGUCAGGUGUGAAAUCCCUCGGCUCAACCGAGGAACGGCGCUUGAUACUGCAUGGCUUGAGGGAGACAGGGGUAAGCGGAACUGAUGGUGGAGCGGUGAAAUGCGUUGAUAUCAUCAGGAACACCGGUGGCGAAAGCGGCUUACUGGGUCUCUUCUGACGCUGAGGGACGAAAGCUAGGGUAGCGAACGGG